CUUCGUUACGAUAACUAAUAAUAACAAAUUUAUUCAUAUUUCAAUCUUAUUUCUCAAUCUCAUCAUUAUUACGAAUGGACUUAUUAAACAUUCCUGCGAUAACAUUUUACAGUUCAACUUUUUUUUUUAAAUUAAUUUAUUAAUUUUUGUGACCGUGUGAUUAUAAAUAUAAAAAGAGAAUAUCUGACUAAAACCUACCAUUAACUCAUUUUUUCCAAAAAUGGACUUAUACCACUUUCAAAAAAAAAAACGGUUCAAUUAUUGCAUGGAUAAAAAAAUAAAGUACUUAUUAUAUUAUACAUUAAUAUAAUACAACGCUCUCACGAUCAUUUUUCUAAACAGUAGUUCUCUUUGCUCCGCGUAUCCUAUUAAUCAGCACACGUGGGAACAACACGAAUAAAAUAAGUUUAAGAACAAAAAGAACUUUCACCGCCUGCUCUUAACGCCGAAAACUUUUACCAUACAAAUAAUUAAUAAAAUCUCGAGGAAGAUCUUAAUGUUUGAGAACCGGCGCGUUUAAUUUUCCAGUAGCCAGUUUCCAGCCACAAGUUGUUGAAAAAGGAAAGUUUUCGCGGGAACAUGCUUUUUACAAGCGGCGAGCAAAAGAAUGAUCGCGAUAUAAUUGUGGUAAUUUCGUGGGCUCACGUUCACCUCGCUGGUAAAAUAGAAAACUAUCGGAUAUUACCGCGCGAGAUACUGUUCAUAAAGUAAGAUGGCUGUAAAAUAGUGCUUACGAGCUUGCUUUUGUCAUUGCGUUCCAAGUUCAACGAAACUAAUUUCUUUCUCCGACCUGUUAUCGAAUGCUCGCGCAAUCGAACAUGUUGCACUUUGUACAAAAAAGAGGGAAAGUCGGAAAGCAUAGAAUGAUGAAAUACAUUUGCGUGCGAUUGUUGUGCCUACGAAUAUUUCUAUCCACUGCGUUUGCUAUAUAAGUGUAUUGCUUUUUAUUCGUGUAAUUUGUUUCCAAAUAACAAAAAGGUGAUAGUGAUCUUGUAAUUUUUCUAUUCGAUAUGAAAAGGAAAGUCUAUUAAUGGCGCGAAAGAUUUCGUCGGCCUCGAAGAGGUGACGAAGGUCGAGUUUUUGGUGAUGCUGUUGGCCGAAACCCUGGGAACCUUUCUUCUCGUGCUGAUCGGGUGUGCAUCCUGCAUCACGUGGACCGCAAACAAUCCUCCAACGGUGGUACACAUAGCGUUCACGUUUGGCCUCGCGGUCGCCAGCUUAGCUCACGUAAGUCACGUGUUUCGUAUCACACCGUUCACGCUUCUGCUUUUGCAACGAUAAUAAUCAUCGUCAAAUUAAUCACAAAUUGUCAAGCGUAACGAUAUUUCUUUUUCUCGAAUUUCGAAUUUCUCGAGAAUAUUUCGAGGGCCAUGGCUCGAUAAUUUUAUCCAAAACGAAAAAUUAAUCUCCAAGUUAAUCGAUUUAACCAUUUGCAGCCCUUAAUUUUUAUUUUCAAUCUAUUGUCACGCCUCCAAGCGUAACGAUAUUUCUUUUUCUCGAAUUUCGAAUUUCUCGAGAAUAUUUCGAGAGC
Apis florea (little honeybee) is the source of this 1531-nucleotide unclassified non-coding RNA. The record is from RefSeq and is a predicted model, not a curated record. Lineage: Eukaryota; Metazoa; Arthropoda; Insecta; Hymenoptera; Apidae.